UUUGGAUUCGUCUGAAGGGGAGAGUGGCGAACGGGUGAGUAACACGUGGGUGACCUGCCUCGAAGACGGGGAUAACUACUGGAAACGGUGGCUAAUACCCGAUGGUCUCGAUAAUUCGGUUUAUCGAGUAAAGGCUCCAGCGCUUUGAGAGGGACCUGCGGCCCAUCAGCUAGUUGGUAGGGUAAUGGCCUACCAAGGCAAAGACGGGUAGGGGGCGUGAGAGCGUGACCCCCCACACUGGCACUGGGACACGGGCCAGACUCCUACGGGAGGCAGCAGUGAGGAAUAUUGCGCAAUGAGCGAAAGCUAGACGCAGCAACGCCGCGUGGGUGAUGAAGGCCUUCGGGUCGUAAAACCCUUCUCUGGGGGAAGAGUAAGGACGGUACCCCAGGAAUAAGCCUCGGCUAAACUAUGUGCCAGCAGCCGCGGUAAUACAUAGGAGGCAAGCGUUAUCCGGAUUUACUGGGCGUAAAGAGCGUUGAGGCGGCUUCGUAAGUUGGACGUGAAAGCUCCCGGCUUAACUGGGAGAGGCCGUUCAAUACUGCGGGGCUUGAGGACAGCAGAGGGGGGUGGAAAUUCCGGUGUAGUGGUGCAAUGCGUAGAUAUCGGAAGGAACACCAGUGGCG
RNAcentral lists this ribosomal RNA (626 nucleotides) under uncultured organism. Its description in RNAcentral is "bacterial SSU rRNA". It matches the Rfam family "Bacterial small subunit ribosomal RNA", at positions 73 to 717 of the family's 1533-position model. The record is from RNAcentral.